UACGGGGGGGGCAAGCGUUGUUCGGAAUUACUGGGCGUAAAGGGCUCGCCGGCGGCCGACUAAGUCAGACGUGAAAUCCCUUGGCUUAACCAAGGAAUGGCGUCUGAUACUGGACGGCUUGAAUCCGGGAGAGGGAUGUGGAAUUCCAGGUGUAGCGGUGAAAUGCGUAGAUAUCUGGAGGAACACCGGUGGCGAAGGCGGCAUCCUGGACCGGUAUUGACGCUGAGGAGCGAAAGCCAGGGGAGCAAACAGG
This 253-nucleotide ribosomal RNA is filed under the name uncultured bacterium. RNAcentral describes it as "partial 16S ribosomal RNA". It matches the Rfam family "Bacterial small subunit ribosomal RNA", at positions 524 to 776 of the family's 1533-position model. The record is from RNAcentral.